AAUUUUUAUAGUUUAAAGAAUUUAUUUUAAAUUUAUUUUACAUGUAAAUUUUGGUAUAUAAUAUUAUUUAUUUAAAUAAUAAUUAAUUAUUUAUACAGUAAUUAAUAUUAAAAAUUUAAGAAAUUAAGAUUUAGUAAUAGUUAAAUUAAAAACUAAUUUUGUGCCAGCAGUUGCGGUUAAACAAAAUUUAAAAUGAAUUUUAUUAGUAAAAUUAAUUAAUAAUUAUUUUAUUUAAAAUUAAAUGUAAAAUUAUAAGGUGAAAUUUUAAUUUUAUAAAAAUUUAUAAGGGAAUUAUGAAAUUGAUAAAUUAUAUGAAAAACUAGGAUUAGAUACCCUAUUAUUAAUAAAUUAAAAAAUAAUACUAAAAUAGUAUUUAAUUAUUUAUUGAAAUUUAAAUAAUUUGGCGGUAUUUUAGUUCAUUUAGAGGAAUCUGUUUAAUAAUUGAUAAUCCACGAAUAAAUUUACUUAAUUUAUAAUUUUGUAUAUCGUUGUUAAAAAAAUAUUUUAUAAUAAAAAUAAUAUUUUAAAAUUUAAAAUUAAAAUUAAAUCAGAUCAAGAUGCAGAUAAUAAUUAAGAAUAUAAUGGAUUACAAUAAAUUUAUUUAAAUAGAAAUUAAUAUGAAAAAAUUAAUUGAAAGUGGAUUUAAAUGUAAUUUUUUUUAGUUUAUAAAAAUGAUUAAAAAUUAAAAUAUGUACAUAUUGCCCGUCGCUUUCAUAUAUAAAUUGAAAUAAGUCGUAACAAAGUAGAGGUACUGGAAAGUGUUUCUAGAAAGA
Molecule: non-coding RNA, 773 nt
Filed under: Ephestia kuehniella (Mediterranean flour moth)
Lineage: Eukaryota; Metazoa; Arthropoda; Insecta; Lepidoptera; Pyralidae
Source: RNAcentral